GAUGAAGAACGUAGUGAAAUGCGAUAAGUAAUGUGAAUUGCAGAAUUCAGUGAAUCAUCGAAUCUUUGAACGCACAUUGCGCCCCUUGGUAUUCCGAGGGGCAUGCCUGUUCGAGCGUCAUUAUAACCCCUCAAGCUCAGCUUGGUGUUGGGGCCUGCUGCACUGGCAGCCCUUAAAAUCAGUGGCGGCGCCAUCUGGCUCUAAGCGUAGUAAUUCUUCUCGCUAUGGAGUCCUGGUGGAUGCUUGCCAUCAACCCCCAAUGUUUCUAUGGUUGACCUCGGAUCAGGUAGGGAUACCCGCUGAACUUAAGCAUAUCAAUAAGCGGAGGA
This 329-nucleotide unclassified non-coding RNA is filed under the name soil metagenome. RNAcentral describes it as "partial contains 5.8S ribosomal RNA, internal transcribed spacer 2, and large subunit ribosomal RNA". The stretch from base 1 to 120 matches the Rfam family "5.8S ribosomal RNA", at positions 35 to 154 of the family's 154-position model. The record is from RNAcentral.